CUGGUAUGUACCGGCUUUACUGAUUCCUCCUUCUUGAAGAACUGUAAUGCCAUUUAUUUGGUGCUGCAGGGAAUCAGGACUUGUUACUUUGAAAAAAUUAGAGUGUUUAAAGCAGGCUAACGCUUGAAUACAUUAGCAUGGAAUAAUAAAAUAGGACGUAACGAUCCUAUUUUGUUGGUUUCUAGGAUUGACGUAAUGAUUAAUAGGGAUAGUUGGGGGCAUUAGUAUUCAAUUGUCAGAGGUGAAAUUCUUGGAUUUAUUGAAGACUAACUACUGCGAAAGCAUUUGCCAAGGAUGUUUUCAUUAAUCAAGAACGAAAGUUAGGGGAUCGAAAACGAUCAGAUAUCGUCGUAGUCUUAACCAUAAACUAUGCCGACUAGGGAUCGGAUGAUGUUAAUUCUUUAAUGACCC
Molecule: ribosomal RNA, 411 nt
Filed under: uncultured Glomeromycotina
Lineage: Eukaryota; Fungi; Glomeromycota
Description: SSU rRNA
Rfam family: Eukaryotic small subunit ribosomal RNA
Source: RNAcentral